RNAcentral lists this ribosomal RNA (254 nucleotides) under uncultured bacterium. Its description in RNAcentral is "partial 16S ribosomal RNA". It matches the Rfam family "Bacterial small subunit ribosomal RNA", at positions 524 to 776 of the family's 1533-position model. The record is from RNAcentral.
UACGUAGGGAGCAAGCGUUGUUCGGAUUUACUGGGCGUAAAGGGCGCGUAGGCGGCCUAUUAAGUCAGCUGUGAAAUCUCCGAGCUUAACUCGGAACUGUCAGCUGAUACUGAUGUGCUAGAGUGCGGAAGGGGCAAUCGGAAUUCUUGGUGUAGCGGUGAAAUGCGUAGAUAUCAAGAGGAACACCUGAGGUGAAGACGGGUUGCUGGGCCGACACUGACGCUGAGUGCGCGAAAGCCAGGGGAGCAAACAGG